Molecule: long non-coding RNA, 349 nt
Filed under: Mus pahari (shrew mouse)
Lineage: Eukaryota; Metazoa; Chordata; Mammalia; Rodentia; Muridae
Description: predicted gene, 30557 (MGP_PahariEiJ_G0005101.1)
Source: RNAcentral
AUCUGUUUCCUCCCCUGUGGUCCUGGACAUGGUCCCCAACCCCUGUCGCAGAACUUUGAAGUAUCUGCCUAGCUACAAGCGAAUGAACAUCUGGAACAUAUGGCAAUUCCUAGGCCUUCUUCACCUGGACAAAGAACAUCUGGACACUGGUGGUUGGCCUGGAGGGUUCCCUUCGAUCCCAAGUUCUGUCCAGCACGCUACAGAGUCAUUCUUGUGAAGCAAUUUGUAUCACUUACAAAGAAGAGAAGCAAGGACAGUGAGGCUGGAGGCUGAGGACUCCCUAGACUGGACGGGAAGGGGUCUGGCCCUGUGACCCUGUGCCCCCACUGGCUUUGUUGGGUGGCUAAGC